RNAcentral lists this ribosomal RNA (439 nucleotides) under uncultured bacterium. RNAcentral's name for it is "partial 16S ribosomal RNA". It matches the Rfam family "Bacterial small subunit ribosomal RNA", at positions 339 to 795 of the family's 1533-position model. The record is from RNAcentral.
CUACGGGGUGCACCAGUGGGGAAUAUUGCACAAUGGGGGAAACCCUGAUGCAGCGACGCCGCGUGAAGGAUGAAGGAUUUCGGUUCGUAAACUUCUAUCAGCAGGGAAGAUAGUGACUGUACCUGACUAAGAAGCCCCGGCUAACUACGUGCCAGCAGCCGCGGUAAUACGUAGGGGGCAAGCGUUAUCCGGAAUUACUGGGUGUAAAGGGUGCGUAGGCGGUUAAAUAAGUCAGAUGUGAAAGCCCGGGGCUCAACUCCGGGACUGCAUUUGAAACUGUUUAACUAGAAUACAGGAGAGGUAAGUGGAAUUCCUAGUGUAGCGGUGAAAUGCGUAGAUAUUAGGAGGAACACCAGUGGCGAAGGCGACUUACUGGACUGUUAUUGACGCUGAGGCACGAAAGCGUGGGGAGCGAACAGGAUUAGAUACCCUAGUAGUC